This 504-nucleotide ribosomal RNA is filed under the name uncultured bacterium. RNAcentral's name for it is "bacterial SSU rRNA". It matches the Rfam family "Bacterial small subunit ribosomal RNA", at positions 28 to 523 of the family's 1533-position model. The record is from RNAcentral.
GAUGAACGCUAGCGACAGGCUUAACACAUGCAAGUCGAGGGGCAGCAUAAAAGUAGCAAUACUUUGGUGGCGACCGGCGCACGGGUGAGUAACGCGUAUGCAACCUACCUAUCAGAGGGGGAUAACCCGGCGAAAGUCGGACUAAUACCGCAUAAAACAGGGGCACCGCAUGGUGAUAUUUGUUAAAAAUUUAUUGCUGAUAGAUGGGCAUGCGUUCCAUUAGGUAGUUGGAGAGGUAACGGCUCACCAAGCCAACGAUGGAUAGGGGAACUGAGAGGUUGGUCCCCCACACUGGUACUGAGACACGGACCAGACUCCUACGGGAGGCAGCAGUGAGGAAUAUUGGUCAAUGGGCGAGAGCCUGAACCAGCCAAGUCGCGUGAAGGAAGAAGGAUCUAUGGUUCGUAAACUUCUUUUGCAGGGGAAUAAAGUGCAGGACGUGUCCUGUUUUGUAUGUACCCUGAGAAUAAGGAUCGGCUAACUCCGUGCCAGCAGCCGCGGUAA